AUUUUUACUUGGAGCCGGGACUAGGUUGAUCACGAAUGCCUUGGUCUCAGAUGGAGGCUCGCUCUUGCACUCUGGCGGGUUGAGGCCUGCGACGAUCCCUAAUCGGGAUCGCUCAGACGCACAUUUUUGAUAGUGGGAACGUCUUCGGACGAUCCCUA
Molecule: small nuclear RNA, 158 nt
Filed under: Echinostoma caproni
Lineage: Eukaryota; Metazoa; Platyhelminthes; Trematoda; Plagiorchiida; Echinostomatidae
Description: U1 spliceosomal RNA
Rfam family: U1 spliceosomal RNA
About the family: U1 is a small nuclear RNA (snRNA) component of the spliceosome (involved in pre-mRNA splicing). Its 5' end forms complementary base pairs with the 5' splice junction, thus defining the 5' donor site of an intron.
Source: Rfam by way of RNAcentral